AGCUUCAUAGCUCAGUUGGUGGGAGCAUCGCACCGUUAUCACGAGAUCACAGGUUCAAACCCCGUUGAAGUCC
RNAcentral lists this transfer RNA (73 nucleotides) under Acropora cervicornis. RNAcentral's name for it is "tRNA-Asn". It matches the Rfam family "tRNA". Rfam says of the family: Transfer RNA (tRNA) molecules are approximately 80 nucleotides in length. Their secondary structure includes four short double-helical elements and three loops (D, anti-codon, and T loops). Lineage: Eukaryota; Metazoa; Cnidaria; Anthozoa; Scleractinia; Acroporidae. The record is from RNAcentral.